UUCAUAGCUGCGCUCUGAUUGUCAUACGACGUCGUAGAGAAGGGACUCCGUCGGCAUCUAAGCACUAGGGUUCUACGAGUGUACAGUUGCUCGACCAGUUAGUGGUGAAAAUGGAGAAUCAGGAGCCGGAAAUCGAGAAAUUGCCUCAAGACGAUGUUCCUGAUCGAGAACCAGACCAGAAGAAGCUCAAGAUUUCAACUACCGGCCAGGAAACUGAUUCCUCGGCUGUUACCGCCGGCGGAAGCAACGUCGCCGAGCGUAGACCGCCGAAAUACAGACGCAGGAAAGUCGCAAUCGUGUUUGCGUUUUGCGGAGUAGGAUAUCAGGGAAUGCAAAAGAAUCCCGGCGCCAAAACCAUUGAAGGCGAGCUCGAAGAAGCGUUGUUCCAUGCCGGAGCCGUACCUGAGGCUGAUCGGAACAAACCAAGAAAUUACGAAUGGGCACGAUCCGCCCGUACCGAUAAAGGAGUGAGUGCGGUGGGACAAGUGGUUUCUGGUCGUUUUUAUGUUGAUCCGCCUGGAUUUGUGGAGCGUCUCAAUUCGAAGCUCCCUGAUCAGAUUCGUGUGUUUGGAUACAAGCGUGUUGCGCCGUCGUUUAGCUCCAAGAAAUUAUGUGAUCGGAGGAGGUAUGUGUAUCUAAUCCCGGUUUUUGCUCUGGAUCCAUGCGUACAUAGUGAAGCUGAGAUGGUUAGAACGGAUUUAGGUUACGAAUAUAUCAAAUGUGUUGAGUGCUCUGAGAAAGGCUAUAAGAUUCCAGUUGGUGUUAUGGGUAAAGACACUGAUUGUGAUACAAAAUCAUUGGAGAUUCAGUCAGACAUUUCGUCGAGCAACUUUGAUGCAUUAGGAACUGAUGUCAAGUGUGAAACUUUGAGCUCUAGUGUACCUAAUGUAGAAAGUAACUUAAACUCAGAAGUUCUAGAUGGGGCUGAUGUAUCUGCUACGACCGAGAAAACCCCUGAUUCAAGCUCUAAAGCACAUGAUAUGGAAGAAUCGAAUUUGGAUUCUUCGAAAGAAUCGAAUACUUUGGCUAAGGUAGAGAUGAACAAUGGGGGAGGAGGAGACAUGACAGAGAGCAAGUUAUGUUAUGGAGAGAAGGAAAUGGAGAGGUUUAACAGAAUUCUAAGCUAUUAUGUUGGUUCACAUAACUUCCACAACUUCACCACCAGAACAAAAGCAGCAGACCCAGCUGCAAAUCGCUACAUUCUCUCUUUCAACGCAAACACAGUGAUUAAUCUCGAUGGAAAAGAUUUUAUCAAGUGUGAAGUUGUUGGACAGAGCUUCAUGCUUCAUCAAAUCCGGAAAAUGAUUGGACUUGCUGUUGCAGUCAUGAGGAACUAUGCACCUGAAUCACUGAUCGAAACUGCUUUCAAGAAGGAUGUGAGAAUAAAUGUACCGAUGGCGCCAGAAGUUGGAUUAUACCUUGAUGAAUGCUUCUUCACGUCUUACAACAAAAGGUUUAAAGGCAGUCAUGAGGAGGUGUCAAUGGAAGAGUACAAGGAAGUAGCUGAAGAAUUCAAGUGGAAGCAUGUUUACUCACAUAUUGGCUCAGCUGAAGAAAAAGAUGGAGCUGUGGCUAUUUGGUUGCAUUCUCUGAACCAGAGAAACUAUCCUGAUCUACGAUGCAAUGAAUACAAACCGGAUGAAGUCAUUGUCUAUAAGAAGAUUGGUGAAGCCUCUGAAGAAAAUAUCCAUGAAGAGAAAAUUACAGUGAAAGAGAACACUAAUGGCACUGCAGAGCUAUUUGUUGUCGAUAAGGUGAAUGAUGAAACCUCUGAAGGAACAAUUAUGGAAGAGAGGACUACACUAGACGAGAAGGCAACGGAAUGAAGCCGCUUUUUAUCUACUGCGGAUCACUGGAUUCAAGCUUCACACCGCAGGACCAAACCGGACUAGUGAGCCAGAUGAGUAACAUUUGGACAUUUGUUUCAGUGAAAGAGAACACUAAUGGCACUGCAGAGCUAUUCGUUGCCGAUAAGUUGAAUGAUGAAACCUCUGAAGGAACGAUCAUGGAAGAGAGGACUACAGUAGACGAGAAGGCAACCGGGUGAAGCCGCUUUUAUCUACUGCGGAUCACUGGAUUCAAGCUUACCGGACUAGUGAGCCAGGUGAGUAACAUGAUGCCUCAGUUAAAAAAUAUAUUUGGACAUUUGUUUCACUAGUGUCCUUUGAGUUUUGUCUCUCAUGACAAAAUUUUGGAAACUUAAGUCAUGUGUUAGCAUUGUGACAUUUUGAUCUUAUUAUAAUUUUACCGAAUAAGUAUUGGCUAUGCGCCUAUGCCUA
RNA transcript from Arabidopsis lyrata subsp. lyrata, 2279 nucleotides. It is a transcript of the gene named tRNA pseudouridine synthase A, mitochondrial, with no coding region annotated. The transcript has 3 exons. Lineage: Eukaryota; Viridiplantae; Streptophyta; Magnoliopsida; Brassicales; Brassicaceae. The record is from RefSeq and is a predicted model, not a curated record.